UGUACAAAAGUGGCCAAAGCAGAGUCUAUAGUUUAAAAGAAACUGCUUUGCUAGAAAUUAGUCUUUUUAAUAAUAAACUCUGCUUACAAUACGCACUAUGGAGCACAAAAAUAAGAAUAUUGAUAUGUAUAGAUUUGUAAGAUGGUCAUUUUUGAUUUCGACAAAUGGCACGAUUUGGGGAAAAGGCAAAUUUAUCAGUUUCUAGAUUUUCUAAUUUCUAUAAUAAUCAGUGAUCGAUUUUUGUGUCCACGUGAUAUGAGGUCACCCAGGCCCCACCCUAUCUGGUAGGCGUGUCUGCUUCAACUAGACAAGAUGGCGAUAUCUAGCUUCUUGAGAUGUGUGGAUCUGAAACUCAUUUUGAGUUAUGGGACCAAGCAUCUUAGGAGAAGAAAUAAAGUAAAAAGAGAAUGAAAUCAUUACUGAGCCCUCAAGGAAUGGCCCAGAUAGAUCCAAUAAAAGAAAAGGGAUUUUGUAACUGGUGUCGGUAUACAAAUAUUUGUGACUCUUCUCACAUUAACAAUGAUGUUCUAAUAAUGAUGUUGAGACAGGAUUGUGGACAUUUAUCCUAGAUCAUUUAUGAUUAUGAUGUCAUUAAGAAUAUUGUUGAUUUUUAACCAGUUUUGAGUAUAUAUAUAUGUGUGGUAACUAUUAUAGAUAGACCAUAAUCUAUUAUGGUUUUUACGUGUAAUGUUAAGUGUUUCUGCUGUAGCAUUUACAACUAAAAGUUUUAAAAAAUGAAAUGUCUGAAAUA
Molecule: long non-coding RNA, 751 nt
Organism: Amphimedon queenslandica
Lineage: Eukaryota; Metazoa; Porifera; Demospongiae; Haplosclerida; Niphatidae
Exons: 2
Source: RefSeq, a predicted model, not a curated record